Molecule: ribosomal RNA, 384 nt
Filed under: uncultured bacterium
Lineage: Bacteria
Description: bacterial SSU rRNA
Rfam family: Bacterial small subunit ribosomal RNA
Source: RNAcentral
AUUGAACGCUGGCGGCAUGCCUUACACAUGCAAGUCGAACGGCAGCGGGCCUUCGGGUGCCGGCGAGUGGCGAACGGGUGAGUAAUGCAUCGGAACGUGCCAUUGAGUGGGGGAUAACGUAGCGAAGGUUACGCUAAUACCGCAUAUUCUGUGAGCAGGAAAGCAGGGGACCGCAAGGCCUUGCGCUCUUUGAGCGGCCGAUGUCAGAUUAGCUAGUUGGUGAGGUAAAGGCUUACCAAGGCGACGAUCUGUAGCGGGUCUGAGAGGAUGAUCCGCCACACUGGAACUGAGACACGGUCCAGACUCCUACGGGAGGCAGCAGUGGGGAAUUUUGGACAAUGGGCGCAAGCCUGAUCCAGCCAUGCCGCGUGAGUGAAGAAGGCC